UGAGAUGUGAUGCCGAGCCGAUUGUGGCGAAGUGGAUGAUCCUAUGCUGCCGAGAAAAGCCUCUAGUGAGUGUUGUGGCGGCCCGUACCCUAAACCGACUCAGGUGGUCAGGUAGAGAAUACUAAGGCGAUCGGGUGAACUGUGGUUAAGGAACUCGGCAAAUUGCCCCCGUAACUUCGGGAGAAGGGGGGCCUCUGCUGGUGAUGGCAUUUACUGCUGGAGCUGGUGGGGGUCGCAGUGGCCAGGGGGAAGCGACUGUUUACUAAAAACACAGGUCCGUGCGAAGUCGUAAGACGAUGUAUACGGACUGACGCCUGCCCGGUGCCGGAACGUUAAGGGGACCGCUUAGCCAGCUUGUCUGGCGAAGGUGAGAACUUAAGCGCCGGUAAACGGCGGUGGUAACUAUAACCAUCCUAAGGUAGCGAAAUUCCUUGUCGGGUAAGUUCCGACCUGCACGAAUGGCGUAACGACUUCCCCGCUGUCUCAACCGCAGACCCGGCGAAAUUGCAUUACGAGUAAAGAUGCUCGUUACGCGCAGCAGGACGGAAAGACCCCGGGACCUUCACUACAGCUUGACAUUGGCGUUUGGAGCGUCUUGUGUAGGAUAGGUGGGAGACUGGGAAGCUCGGACGCUAGUUCGGGUGGAGUCAUUGGUGAAAUACCACUCUGGUCGUUUUGAACGUCUAACUCUGGUCCGUGAUCCGGAUCGGGGACAGUGUCUGGUGGGUAGUUUAACUGGGGCGGUUGCCUCCUAAAGGGUAACGGAGGCGCCCAAAGGUUCCCUCAGCCUGGUUGGCAAUCAGGUGUUGAGUGUAAGUGCACAAGGGAGCUUGACUGUGAGACUGACGGGUCGAGCAGGAGCGAAAGCUGGGACUAGUGAUCCGGCAUCGGCGUGUGGAAGCGGUGUCGCUCAACGGCUAAAAGGUACCCCGGGGAUAACAGGCUGAUCUUCCCCAAGAGUCCAUAUCGACGGGAUGGUUUGGCACCUCGAUGUCGGCUCGUCGCAUCCUGGGGCUGGAGUAGGUCCCAAGGGUUGGGCUGUUCGCCCAUUAAAGCGGUACGCGAGCUGGGUUUAGAACGUCGCGAGACAGUUCGGUCCCUAUCCGCUGCGCGCGCAGGAGACUUGAAAGGGGCUGUCCCUAGUACGAGAGGACCGGGACGGACGAACCUCUGGUGUGCCAGUUGUAUCGCCAGGUGCAUGGCUGGUUGGCUACGUUCGGAAGGGAUAACCGCUGAAAGCAUCUAAGCGGGAAGCUCGCCUUGAGAUGAGGUCUCCCACCCUGUGAGGGGGUAAGGCUCCCGGUAGACGACCGGGUUGAUAGGCCGGAGGUGGAAGCGCGGUAACGUGUGGAGCUGACCGGUACUAAUAGGCCGAGGACUUGACCUC
This 1387-nucleotide ribosomal RNA is filed under the name Nonomuraea maritima. Its description in RNAcentral is "Nonomuraea sp. FXJ7.203 Bacterial large subunit ribosomal RNA". It matches the Rfam family "Bacterial large subunit ribosomal RNA", at positions 1557 to 2925 of the family's 2925-position model. The record is from Rfam by way of RNAcentral. Lineage: Bacteria; Bacillati; Actinomycetota; Actinomycetes; Streptosporangiales; Streptosporangiaceae.